Cherax quadricarinatus is the source of this 3138-nucleotide non-coding RNA. The record is from RefSeq and is a predicted model, not a curated record. NCBI's taxonomy places the organism in Eukaryota, Metazoa, Arthropoda, Malacostraca, Decapoda, Parastacidae.
AUCCUCUAUUAAUACUUUCAGACCUCGGGAGUGAUUCGUGUCCCAUCUGAGAAUAUUGCAACUCAUGGUUGGUUUAUUGGCAUGAUGCUUGCCAUUGUCUUCCUCCUCGUGAUCCUUAUUAUCGUAUGCGUUGUCAAGCGUAAUCGUGGAGGAAAAUAUGCCGUCCAGGAACGUGAGGCUGCUCAUGGGCGUACAGACUUCAAUGAAGAACAAGGGUUCCCUGAAUUUGCCCAGCCAUUGGAUGGACCGAAGAGGGACAGUCUGGGUAGUGAUGUGAAAAACCCAAUAGAAUCUGAUACAGACUCAAUGGCAGAAUAUGGAGAUGGAGAUACAGGAGCAGGUAUGGCUGAAGAUGGUUCCUUCAUCGGUCAGUACGGCCGGAAGAAAGGCGAGACAACAUCCAAUGCAUUUGCCACCCUAGUUUGAUGUUAUACCUCCAUUCUUUUACAUGUAAGCCUUGGAUUUUAUAUUAUAUGAAAGGAAGGUUCACAGAAGAUGGGUCGUUCAUUGGACAGUAUGGAGGAGCCGCUGGUAAAAGGAAGCCAGCCCCUGAAGACAAAUCACCCUCUGCCGUGGCCACGUUUGUCUAGAUACCUUUAUAGCGUGGCAUUCUUCACCUAGAGCCACUGUACCUGUCAACACCUUUUGUUCAGUCAAUAUUUUUCAGAUUUGUAUAUCUGUAGUAUGCUGUAAUUUCAGGGUUUGUAGUAACUGACCUAGAUACUAAAAUUUGUUUUGGUGUGUAUACGUGAUCUUGGUUAACUGGUACCACAACAAAUUCACAAAAAGAAGGGUCAGCAGUAGUGUUAAGAAUGAUAAUAGACACACAAAUAUAUUGCAGAAUGUUGGUGUCACAUAUUUAUAACAUUCAGUAGCAAAUCAGAGAACUAUUAGAUCAUAAAAAAAUUGAAUGUAGUAAUGAUUAUUUAAAACUUUUUAUUGAAAUUAUUUAUAUAGUGAUAUGAAACAGUUAAUGGUUGGCGAAUGAAAUUUUCUGAUACAAGACACUUUCAAGUCUAUAUAGCAGAGCCCUUUAGUGAUGAUUUACCUCAGAAUUUCUAAUUCAGUGGUCUUACUUAUGGGCUUUUCAAUGAAGGUCAGACACCUUUGUAUCUGUGAAUUCAAGUAUUAAACAUUAAGUUUGGAAUAGUUGUAUGAACUGUGAAUCAAAUGUUAAUACAGUGUCUUUAUAUUAUUUGUGCCAAAAUGGCCACAGAAAUGAUACUUCCUCUUAUUACUUUAGACUAGGGAAGGCAAAGGAAUCAAUGUACUAUUUGCAAAGGACAUUAAUAUAGUGAAUCAGCAAAACAAUUCUCCACAUCUGAGUGGAUGUAUCCCUGCAUUUGGGAUAACUGAAGUGAGAGUUGGUGGCUCAGCACGUAUGAGAGAGGACUCAAGAGCUGUAGUGGGCCAUCUGAACCCAAGCUCACCACUGUUGGUUACUUUUAAGUUACCAGUCAUUAUCUGACACAAAUACUGAAGUGAAAAUUUGGAAUCUCAUCGUCAUAGAAUCUCCAGUGAAUGUGUCCCUCAAUUUAGAAGUAUUGUUGCAGAAUUGUAUAGUUAAGAAAGUGUUCCUAUCAAGGAGAAAAAGUAAACAUUUCUAUAUAGCCAACAGGCAUUGAUGUAAGUGUUGCAAUUAAGAUGUAAAUGUGCCUCUUGUCAGCUUUUGAAUCACAAUUAAGCAUUGCUAGUAUUUCUUUCCACUUAGAAUGUGAUGAGCCUUGUGAGGCUGAUCCUUGAUCAGUGGUGCAAUGAGACCUUUUUUUUUUUUAUUUAUUAAAAAAAAAAGGGGGGGGGGUGUCUCAUGAAGAUCUUGCAUUAAGCUUUAUGCUCACUGGUCAUCUCACUAAUAAUGCUGUUGUGAAAAAGUUUUAUGUAUAUCUCAUUCUUGAGAAUUCAUAUAUUAUUUUUUAGUCUUAUUCACACUUUUUUUAUAUAAAUCUCACACAUUCUGCACAAACAUUGCUAGAAUCUGGUAAUGAUAAUUGACUGAAGUAAGGGUAAGGAAGAUUGUGUUUUGAUCAGUAACAUGUAGAUUGACUACUUGUGUAUGUCAUUCAUCUCAAGGUUUGUGCAUGAGAAAAGUUUUAAGUGCAUAACUGUGCAGGUGAUGGUAAUCCAUAGUCUGGACAGUGAAUGAGCGUGUCAAUUUAUUUGCUAAUGUGCUGUGACAAGCGCCAAGUGUCAAAUCUUGCAAAAAACAUUGCCAGCAUUGUGUGAAUGUUUGUUAUUUUUAUACAAGUGACCUUUUGUAUCUUCCUUUGAAAGUUUGUGGUAAUAUGCUGAUUUUCAGUUUACUUGUGAUUUAUUUUUCUUAAUCCAUACAUUUAUAUGGAAGUGAAUAAACAAAUAGGUUGUGAACAUAACAUAAUGAGGGCAGAGUUUCCUAUUUUGCUUAAAGAAAAAACUGAUAGUAUUGUCCAUUUAGAUUGUGAAAAAGUGCCUAUUUUCAUUAUGUAUAGUCCAAAAAAAAAAGAUUUUCAGUAGUCUGUAAAACUUUAUUUUUAAUUUAUUUUAUUAAUACCAAUGUUAUAAGUUUGGCUUACACAGUAUAUCAUCAUUGCACCAUAUAUGUAGAAGGAAGUUUACAGUUGAAACAAUGUAACUGUCCCAUAUAGAGAAGCAAAUGGUAGUGUUAUGUGCGAGUGUGACUGAAUGUUGUUUAAUAGCACUUUGUACAGUAAUGGGGUAUGAAGUGUGCAUCAUGCCUUUUGCAUACAUAUAUAAAUAUAUAGAUAUAUAUAUGUAUAUGAUGGAAGCAUGGAUUAUGAGGUCAAGAUUCCAUUCCUAAAUGUUCUUUUUAUCCUGUUUAAUAUGGCAGUAGGCUUCACUGGAGCUUCAUCAUCUCUGUAUUCAUCAUAUAUUAUAAGGAGAAAAAAGUGAUGGCUGGUAGUAAUAAAAUUGACUAUACAAUAUACUAAAUAUUAGCAAUACUAAAAUAUGUUAAAUUACAUUGGCUGUAUCAAGAUAAAUAUAGUGUCAUUCAUUUACAAAUCAUUCUCCAUCACUUUCCCCCUUAAUGUAUUUACAAUACUGCUGUAUUUAGGAUGGUCUUACAUUCUUAUCAUCUACCUUGCAGAUAUGUAAAGCUUGUGGAUGGAAGUAAAAGAUAUAAUAAAAUAAUUGGAAAAGUUA